AAAUUGAAGAGUUUGAUCAUGGCUCAGAUUGAACGCUGGCGGCAGGCCUAACACAUGCAAGUCGAGCGGUAGCACAGAGAGCUUGCUCUCGGGUGACGAGCGGCGGACGGGUGAGUAAUGUCUGGGAAACUGCCUGAUGGAGGGGGAUAACUACUGGAAACGGUAGCUAAUACCGCAUAAUGUCGCAAGACCAAAGUGGGGGACCUUCGGGCCUCAUGCCAUCAGAUGUGCCCAGAUGGGAUUAGCUAGUAGGUGGGGUAACGGCUCACCUAGGCGACGAUCCCUAGCUGGUCUGAGAGGAUGACCAGCCACACUGGAACUGAGACACGGUCCAGACUCCUACGGGAGGCAGCAGUGGGGAAUAUUGCACAAUGGGCGAAAGCCUGAUGCAGCCAUGCCGCGUGUGUGAAGAAGGCCUUCGGGUUGUAAAGCACUUUCAGCGGGGAGGAAGGCGUUAAGGUUAAUAACCUUGUCGAUUGACGUUACCCGCAGAAGAAGCACCGGCUAACUCCGUGCCAGCAGCCGCGGUAAUACGGAGGGUGCAAGCGUUAAUCGGAAUUACUGGGCGUAAAGCGCACGCAGGCGGUCUGUCAAGUCGGAUGUGAAAUCCCCGGGCUCAACCUGGGAACUGCAUUCGAAACUGGCAGGCUAGAGUCUUGUAGAGGGGGGUAGAAUUCCAGGUGUAGCGGUGAAAUGCGUAGAGAUCUGGAGGAAUACCGGUGGCGAAGGCGGCCCCCUGGACAAAGACUGACGCUCAGGUGCGAAAGCGUGGGGAGCAAACAGGAUUAGAUACCCUGGUAGUCCACGCCGUAAACGAUGUCGAUUUGGAGGUUGUGCCCUUGAGGCGUGGCUUCCGGAGCUAACGCGUUAAAUCGACCGCCUGGGGAGUACGGCCGCAAGGUUAAAACUCAAAUGAAUUGACGGGGGCCCGCACAAGCGGUGGAGCAUGUGGUUUAAUUCGAUGCAACGCGAAGAACCUUACCUGGUCUUGACAUCCACAGAACUUUCCAGAGAUGGAUUGGUGCCUUCGGGAACUGUGAGACAGGUGCUGCAUGGCUGUCGUCAGCUCGUGUUGUGAAAUGUUGGGUUAAGUCCCGCAACGAGCGCAACCCUUAUCCUUUGUUGCCAGCGGUUAGGCCGGGAACUCAAAGGAGACUGCCAGUGAUAAACUGGAGGAAGGUGGGGAUGACGUCAAGUCAUCAUGGCCCUUACGACCAGGGCUACACACGUGCUACAAUGGCAUAUACAAAGAGAAGCGACCUCGCGAGAGCAAGCGGACCUCAUAAAGUAUGUCGUAGUCCGGAUUGGAGUCUGCAACUCGACUCCAUGAAGUCGGAAUCGCUAGUAAUCGUAGAUCAGAAUGCUACGGUGAAUACGUUCCCGGGCCUUGUACACACCGCCCGUCACACCAUGGGAGUGGGUUGCAAAAGAAGUAGGUAGCUUAACCUUCGGGAGGGCGCUUACCACUUUGUGAUUCAUGACUGGGGUGAAGUCGUAACAAGGUAACCGUAGGGGAACCUGCGGUUGGAUCACCUCCUUACCUUAAAGAA
This 1550-nucleotide ribosomal RNA is filed under the name Klebsiella pneumoniae. RNAcentral describes it as "bacterial SSU rRNA". It matches the Rfam family "Bacterial small subunit ribosomal RNA". Lineage: Bacteria; Pseudomonadati; Pseudomonadota; Gammaproteobacteria; Enterobacterales; Enterobacteriaceae. The record is from RNAcentral.